This 423-nucleotide ribosomal RNA is filed under the name uncultured Glomeraceae. RNAcentral's name for it is "SSU rRNA". It matches the Rfam family "Eukaryotic small subunit ribosomal RNA", at positions 459 to 886 of the family's 1831-position model. Lineage: Eukaryota; Fungi; Glomeromycota; Glomeromycetes; Glomerales; Glomeraceae. The record is from RNAcentral.
GGGAGGUAGUGACAAUAAAUAACAAUACAGGGUUCUUUUGGAUCUUGUAAUUGGAAUGAGUACAAUUUAAAUCUCUUAACGAGGAACAAUUGGAGGGCAAGUCUGGUGCCAGCAGCCGCGGUAAUUCCAGCUCCAAUAGCGUAUAUUAAAGUUGUUGCAGUUAAAAAGCUCGUAGUUGAAUUUCGGGAUCAAUAUUUCGGUCAUGCCGUUGGUAUGCACUGUUAUCAUUGAUUUCUCACCUUCUAAAGAACCGUAAUGCCAUUAAUUUGGUGUUACGGGGAAUUAGGACUGUUACCUUGAAAAAUUAGAGUGUUUAAAGCAGGCUCACGCUUGAAUACAUUAGCAUGGAAUAAUGAAAUAGGACAUCCGAUUCUAUUUUGUUGGUUUCUAGGAUCGAUGUAAUGAUUAAUAGGGAUAGUUGGG